RNAcentral lists this ribosomal RNA (292 nucleotides) under uncultured bacterium. RNAcentral's name for it is "partial 16S ribosomal RNA". The record is from RNAcentral.
GGACUACCCGGGUUUCUAAUCCUGUUUGCUCCCCACGCUUUCGCGCCUCAGCGUCAGUAUCGGUCCAGAGAGCCGCCUUCGCCACCGGUGUUCUUCCCAAUAUCUACGAAUUUCACCUCUACACUGGGAAUUCCACUCUCCUCUCCCGAUCUCUAGCCAUCCCGUAUCAAGCGCAGUUCCCAGGUUAAGCCCGGGGCUUUCACGCCUGACAAAAAUAGCCGCCUGCGCGCCCUUUACGCCCAGUAAAUCCGAACAACGCUCGCCCCCUUCGUAUUACCGCGGCUGCUGGCAC